This 793-nucleotide long non-coding RNA is filed under the name Phoenix dactylifera (date palm). RNAcentral describes it as "long non-coding RNA (PDAC_LNC017649)". The record is from RNAcentral. Lineage: Eukaryota; Viridiplantae; Streptophyta; Magnoliopsida; Arecales; Arecaceae.
ACAUAAAGUUGUACUUCUCAACAUUUGUGACAUCUUUAUACUAUGAUAUCAAAUCCCAUAGUUGAAUAUUAUUGGAAAAUCCAAAAUAACCCACUCGUUAUAUGAGAUGGUUGUCUGGCCUGAUUGGAGGGAAAAGGUAAUAUUGCAUUUCAUAUACUGCAUUUCUUGCUUCCAUAUGAUAUGCAUGAGCAGUUGGUGUUUGAGCUGCCUGGGGCAAACAUAGCACAUAUGAAGCUUUGAGGAGAAUUAGGACAUGUGUGUUGUAACACAUUAACAUGCAUAUAGAAAUUUAUAUGAGUCUUGCUUGUACAUGCCAAAAAAACCUAACCAGAAUUUGGUAAGGUUAAACACAAUUUUAUUGCCAGUGUUGCAGUGAGGAAGAACCUUGCAAACCUUUUGUUGGUUAGCAUCCCUGGCCUAUCUGUUUGGUGUUAGUUUUUCCAUUCUAUGCUUGUCUAAUAGACAAAAUGGUGAACCUGUAACUUGACUUUAUCAUCUUAAACAUGGGAAAGCAAAAUGCCAAAACAUAUGAAGAUAUUGGAUAAAUAUAAUGAUACUGAUCGAUGGAAACAGAUUUAUGUAGUUAGUGACUGGUUUGAGGUACUUCUGGAGACUUUGAAAAGGUUAUUUUUUAAUUGAACUGAAGAGAUAAUUAGGUAGGACAUUCCUGACUGAUUUACAGAAAUUGCCAGUACUUUGAGGGAGGUCUACAACGGCGAAAAAAAGAUUUUGCAAUAUUGCAGAGCAUAUUUUUUUUAGAUGAAAGUACUGCACUUUUAAGAUGGAACAAGAA